This 253-nucleotide ribosomal RNA is filed under the name uncultured bacterium. RNAcentral describes it as "partial 16S ribosomal RNA". It matches the Rfam family "Bacterial small subunit ribosomal RNA", at positions 524 to 776 of the family's 1533-position model. The record is from RNAcentral.
UACGUAGGGUGCAGGCGUUAAUCGGAAUUACUGGGCGUAAAGCGUGCGCAGGCGGCUCCUUAAGUCAGAUGUGAAAGCCCCGGGCUUAACCUGGGAACUGCGUUUGAAACUGGGGAGCUAGAGUGUAGAAGAGGGGGGUGGAAUUCCAGGUGUAGCAGUGAAAUGCGUAGAUAUCCGGAGGAACACCGGUGGCGAAGGCGACAUCCUGGACCGGUAUUGACGCUGAGGCGCGAAAGCUAGGGGAGCAAACGGG